RNAcentral lists this ribosomal RNA (497 nucleotides) under uncultured bacterium. RNAcentral's name for it is "partial 16S ribosomal RNA". It matches the Rfam family "Bacterial small subunit ribosomal RNA", at positions 28 to 507 of the family's 1533-position model. The record is from RNAcentral.
GACGAACGCUGGCGGCGUGCCUAAUACAUGCAAGUUGAGCGAUGAAGCUUGGUGCUUGCACCAAUUUGAAGAGCAGCGAACGGGUGAGUAACGCGUGGGGAAUCUGCCUUUGAGCGGGGGACAACAUUUGGAAACGAAUGCUAAUACCGCAUAAUAACUUUAAACAUAAGUUUUAAGUUUGAAAGAUGCAAUUGCAUCACUCAAAGAUGAUCCCGCGUUGUAUUAGCUAGUUGGUGAGGUAAAGGCUCACCAAGGCGAUGAUACAUAGCCGACCUGAGAGGGUGAUCGGCCACAUUGGGACUGAGACACGGCCCAAACUCCUACGGGAGGCAGCAGUAGGGAAUCUUCGGCAAUGGACGAAAGUCUGACCGAGCAACGCCGCGUGAGUGAAGAAGGUUUUCGGAUCGUAAAACUCGGUUGGUAGAGAAGAACGUUGGUGAGAGUGGAAAGCUCAUCAAGUGACGGUAACUACCCAGAAAGGGACGGCUAACUACGUG